GAUGAACGCUGGCGGCGUGCCUAAUACAUGCAAGUCGAGCGAACAGACGAGGAGCUUGCUCCUCUGACGUUAGCGGCGGACGUGUGAGUAACACGUGUAUAACCUACCUAUAAUACUGGUAUAACUUCGGGAAACCGGAUCUAAUACCGUAUAAUAUAUUGAACCGCAUGGUUCAAUAGUGAAAUACGGUUUUUCUGUCUCUUAUAGAUGGAUCCGCGCUGCAUUAGCUAGUUGGUAAGGUAACGGCUUACCAAGGCAACGAUGCGUAGCCGACCUGAGAGGGUGAUCGGCCACACUGGAACUGAGACACGGUCCAGACUACUACGGGAGGCAGCAGUAGGGAAUCUUACGCAAUGGGCGAAAGCCUGACGGAGCAACGCCGCGUGAGUGAUGAAGGUCUUCGGAUCGUAAAACUCUGUUAUUAGGGAAGAACAAAUGUGUAAGUAAAUAUGCACGUAUUGACGGUAACUAAUAAGAAAGCCACGGCUAACUACGUG
Molecule: ribosomal RNA, 497 nt
Filed under: uncultured bacterium
Lineage: Bacteria
Description: partial 16S ribosomal RNA
Rfam family: Bacterial small subunit ribosomal RNA
Source: RNAcentral